GGAGAGGUGACAGAGUGGUCGAAUGUGGCGGUCUCGAAAACCGUUGUGCCUUAUGGGUACCGUGGGUUCGAAUCCCACCCUCUCCGCCA
Molecule: transfer RNA, 89 nt
Filed under: Pacificimonas flava
Lineage: Bacteria; Pseudomonadati; Pseudomonadota; Alphaproteobacteria; Sphingomonadales; Sphingosinicellaceae
Description: tRNA-Ser
Rfam family: tRNA
About the family: Transfer RNA (tRNA) molecules are approximately 80 nucleotides in length. Their secondary structure includes four short double-helical elements and three loops (D, anti-codon, and T loops). Further hydrogen bonds mediate the characteristic L-shaped molecular structure. tRNAs have two regions of fundamental functional importance: the anti-codon, which is responsible for specific mRNA codon recognition, and the 3' end, to which the tRNAs corresponding amino acid is attached (by aminoacyl-tRNA synthetases). tRNAs cope with the degeneracy of the genetic code in two manners: having more than one tRNA (with a specific anti-codon) for a particular amino acid; and 'wobble' base-pairing, i.e. permitting non-standard base-pairing at the 3rd anti-codon position.
Source: RNAcentral